Molecule: ribosomal RNA, 559 nt
Filed under: uncultured Glomus
Lineage: Eukaryota; Fungi; Glomeromycota; Glomeromycetes; Glomerales; Glomeraceae
Description: SSU rRNA
Rfam family: Eukaryotic small subunit ribosomal RNA
Source: RNAcentral
AAUUGGAGGGCAAGUCUGGUGCCAGCAGCCGCGGUAAUUCCAGCUCCAAUAGCGUAUAUUAAAGUUGUUGCAGUUAAAAAGCUCGUAGUUGAAUUUCGGGGUUAGUAGGUUGGUCAUGCCUCUGGUAUGUACUGAUCUCACUGAUUCCUCCUUCCUUAUGAACCGUAAUGCCAUUAAUUUGGUGUUGCGGGGAAUUUGGACUGUUACUUUGAAAAAAUUAGAGUGUUUAAAGCAGGCUAACGCUUGAAUACAUUAGCAUGGAAUAAUGAAAUAGGACGUUCGAUCUUAUUUUGUUGGUUUCUAGGAUUGACGUAAUGAUUAAUAGGGAUAGCUGGGGGCAUUAGUAUUCAAUUGUCAGAGGUGAAAUUCUUGGAUUUAUUGAAGACUAACUACUGCGAAAGCAUUUGCCAAGGAUGUUUUCAUUAAUCAAGAACGAAAGUUAGGGGAUCGAAGACGAUCAGAUACCGUCGUAGUCUUAACCAUAAACUAUGCCGACUAGGGAUCGGAUGAUGUUAAUUUUUUAAUGACUCAUUCGGCGCCUUACGGGAAACCAAAGUGU